RNAcentral lists this long non-coding RNA (2372 nucleotides) under Homo sapiens (human). RNAcentral's name for it is "non-protein coding lnc-SMAD6-2:3". Lineage: Eukaryota; Metazoa; Chordata; Mammalia; Primates; Hominidae. The record is from RNAcentral.
GAGGCUGGGAGGGCCAUCUGACCACAAUGCAGGUCUGUUGCGGACCUCAAGGAGCCUGCAGGGAGUGCAGCCACCUCAGGCACACACCUUGGUGAUAGAUUUUACUGCUCAGCUGCUGAAGCCAUUGGUCAAUGAUGCUCCUCACAGUCAGAGAUCUGAGAGGGGCAUUUUCACAGCCACCACAGACCUUCUGCCUCCCAGGGCCUCCUCACUGGCCUGGCCUGGAGGACUGCCACUGGCACCCACAGUUAGAGGGAAGGAAGUUUCAGGCCUCUGUAACCCAGGAGAGAAGUCCACUAGUCCAGUCCAGGCCAGGUGUCCAGCUCUGGUGGGUGGAACCAUUUGCCCAGCUGUCCUUUGGCUGAGGGUUGGGGCCUGACCUCUGAAGUGAAGGCACCCACAGAGCUGGCCAUUGAGGCAAAUGUCCAGAAUCCUGGGGCAUGGGCACCGGCAGGGGAGAUGAGGUCAUGUGAGAUGUAGGUGCCACUCUCUUGCAGAACCCACCCUCGCACCUUGGCACACAGUGGCUCCACGAGGCCAAGAGCUGGUCUCUUGUUUAUCUGGGUGUAGGGCGUGCACACUGCCUGGAACUGACAGUGUCAGGGACUUCUGCUGGCCAGGACAGACCCCAUGCCUACUCAAUGGCCAUCAGCCCUAGGGCAGCAACAUCAGGAUCUGUCUUCCCCAUUGGUCAGGGGGCUUGUGGUAGGUUCAAACCACUGAUGGCAAGCAGUCCAGGCUCUAGUGUUGGUUUGGGGUCUGGCUCUCUCACUAACCUGAGCAAGUCCCUUACAUCCCCAGGGCUCAGUUUCCUUAUCUGUUGAGUAGAGAUCAUCACACUGAUGGCGAAGAGGCCUUGUGGUAUGGAGGGUUUGGGUUCAACUUUUUUUUUUUUGAGCUGAUUUGAAUCCCAUUUCCCUGGUUAUUUGCUAUAUGGCCUUAGGCAAGUUACUCAAUCUCUUGAAGACUCAAUUUCCCAUCUACAAAAUGGGAGUGAAGAAGAAUCUCUUCUUCUUUCCAAGAAAUGUACAUGUGAGGAUUCAAUAAGGGAACGCUCAGGCAGCUCUGAGCACAGCAUCUGGAGCGUCACUGCGAUGUGGCAGCACGCUCUGCAGCAUGCAGGACAGACACACUCCUUCCUCUCUCCUCCUUCACCUCUUCCCCAGCCCCACCCCUCACAUCUCCUUGGCUAAUGGGUCAAGCAGUGGUCAGUGUCUGGCCAACAGUGGAGACUCAACCAUGCACAGAGAGUGAAAAUGCAGUGCGCACCUCCUGUCCAGGUAGCCCCAACCUCAUUCAUUCACUUCCAGAAUGGCAGGUGCUGUGCUGAAUGCCUGGGAAGAUGGCCCCAAUGUUCCUCCCCAAGGGAUUGCCAGUCACAUCAGCACAGCACGGGAUGGAUCCUGCUGUGCCAACACUCUCUGCAGGCUUGUGGGGACCCUGGCUGAGAUGUCUGGACACCUGGAUUUCAAUCCGGUCUUUGCCAUCCACUCCCUGUGUGGCCCUCCCCCGCAAACUAAAUAAAAAUUUCAUGAGUUGGGGAAGGAGACUCAAGGGGAAGUGAGACGAGAGGACGGAAGUGAGUUGAAGAGCAGGGAGGAGCCUGGAGCCUGGAGCCUGGGCCUCCCUGUGCUGUGAUGUGUGCCAGAGUGGAAGCGGAAGUGGAAGCAGAAGCAGAAGUGGUCCUGCCGGUAGGUGUGACUGGCCUCACAGAGCUGCCAGGAUGCACCUGAGUGCUCAAGAGGGUUUCCCACAGCCCCAGGUGGAUUGGACUCAGAAGCAUGUUUCUGAUGUGCUCAAGAGUGUGGCCCAGACAAGGCACAGAGGACAGGAGUGUCAGAGGCAUUCAAACAAGAGCGACUCCAUCCUGAACGGGGGCUGGGUAAAAUGACGCUGAGGCCUGCCAGGUUGCAUUCCCAGGAGGUUAGGCAUUCUUAAGUCACUGGAUGAGAUAGGAGAGGGGCACAAGAUACUGGUUACAAAGACCCUGCUGAUAAAACAGGUUGCAGUAAAGAAGCUCGCCCAAACCAAAAUGGCAAUGAAAGUAACCUCUGGUCAUCCUCACUGCUCAUUACACGCUAAUUAUAAUGCAUUAGGAUGCUGAAAGACACUCCCACCAGCCCCAUGACAGUUUACAAACGCCAUAGCAACAUCUGGAAGUUACUCUAUAUGACUUAAAAGGAAAAGGAACUCUCAGUUCUGGGAAAUUCCCACCCCUUUCCUGGAAAAUUCAUGAAUAAACCACUCCUUGUUUAGCAUAUGAUCAAGAAAUAACCAUAAAAGUAGCCAACCAGCAGCCCUUCGUGCUGCUCUGCCUGUAGAGUAGCCGUUGUUUUAUUCCUUUACUUUCUUCAUAAACUUGCUUCUGCUUU